AGCCUACGGGACGCAGCAGUGGGGGAUAUUGCACAAUGGGGGGAACCCUGAUGCAGCGACGCCGCGUGGGUGAAGUAGCGUUUCGGCGCGUAAAGCCAUAUCGGCAGGGAAGAAGAUGACGGUACCUGACCAAGAAGCCCCGGCUAACUACGUGCCAGCAGCCGCGGGAAUAAGUAGGGGGCAAGCGUUAUCCGGGUUUACUGGGUGGAAAGGGUGCGUAGGCGGGACGGUAAGUCAGCGGUUAA
RNAcentral lists this ribosomal RNA (245 nucleotides) under uncultured bacterium. Its description in RNAcentral is "partial 16S ribosomal RNA". It matches the Rfam family "Bacterial small subunit ribosomal RNA", at positions 335 to 598 of the family's 1533-position model. The record is from RNAcentral.